RNAcentral lists this ribosomal RNA (375 nucleotides) under uncultured bacterium. RNAcentral describes it as "bacterial SSU rRNA". It matches the Rfam family "Bacterial small subunit ribosomal RNA", at positions 28 to 404 of the family's 1533-position model. The record is from RNAcentral.
GACGAACGCUGGCGGCGUGCUUAACACAUGCAAGUCGAGCGGUAAGGCCCUUUCGGGGGUACACGAGCGGCGAACGGGUGAGUAACACGUGGGUGACCUGCCCUCAGCUCUGGGAUAAGCCUGGGAAACCGGGUCUAAUACCGGAUAUGACUCCAUGACGCAUGUUGUGGGGUGGAAAGCCUUGUGCGGCUGAGGAUGGGCCCGCGGCCUAUCAGCUUGUUGGUGGGGGAUGGCCUACCAAGGCGACGACGGGUAGCCGGCCUGAGAGGGCGGACCGGCCACACUGGGACUGAGACACGGCCCAGACUCCUACGGGAGGCAGCAGUGGGGAAUCUUGCGCAAUGGGCGAAAGCCUGACGCAGCGACGCCGCGUGA